UUUGUAUCGUUGGUUUACGCGUGUGUUUAGUAUUUUACAAGUCAGAAGAAAUUUUUAUAAAAUUUAGACCAAAUUCUUAACUGCAUUCCGGUCAGUUGUUGAGAAGUAGUUUCCGGGACAAUUUCCGCGGCUUUGAUUACUCGUCUGCUACAGGUCUGAUACCACCUAUGUCUCCCACCAUCAAACUUUGUUUUCCGGCGAAUAUGUAUCCAAUCAAUCAAGUGAACCAACUUCCUCCAAUACCGAAGACUUCCCGAAAUCUGCCAGUUCCUGUGGGAACGGGAAAAAUAGCAUCAGCAAAACUGGAAAAGCCUUUCGAGGCAGAAGGAUUCGGAUAUGCUGAUUUUACGGAACGGGAACCCGAAAAUCUGUGGAGCUAUCGGAAUUUACCGCAAGAAGUGCAGCAUUUAUGAUUUUAAGAAAUAUGUUAAAAAAGAAAUCCUUAUCUGAUAUGUUUGAAUCUCUGCAUAGUCGGAUCAAACGGUUAGAGGAGGUCAUGCAUUUCUGGCAAUGGUCCCGCUCAGAGUACCCCCACUCGGAUUAAGUCCGCCAGGCGCUGUGUCACUAAAUAAUCGAAAGUGUCAGAGAUAUCGAUAUCGACAUUGCCAAUGGUGCUUCUUUCGGUGGAAAGCGAAGGGACGGACGAAUUUUUUUCUACAGCAGGUUAACCAAGUUGCCGGGAAAGUCCGAGGGAGUGAAAUACUGCCUGAAAAGUUAUUUUCGCAGUGUCCUG
Molecule: long non-coding RNA, 733 nt
Organism: Uranotaenia lowii
Lineage: Eukaryota; Metazoa; Arthropoda; Insecta; Diptera; Culicidae
Exons: 3
Source: RefSeq, a predicted model, not a curated record